GAUGAAGAACGUAGCGAAAUGCGAUAAGUAGUGUGAAUUGCAGAAUUCAGUGAAUCAUCGAAUCUUUGAACGCACAUUGCGCCCCUUGGUAUUCCAUGGGGCAUGCCUGUUCGAGCGUCAUUUGUACCUUCAAGCUUUGCUUGGUGUUGGGUGUUUGUCCCGAGGGACUCGCCUUAAAGUAAUUGGCAGCCAGUGUUUGGUUUUGAAGCGCAGCACAAGUCGCGAUUCAAGGCUACACGCCCGCUUCCACAUGCCUUUUUUCACUUUUGACCUCGGAUCAGGUAGGGAUACCCGCUGAACUUAAGCAUAUCAAUAAGCGGAGGA
RNAcentral lists this unclassified non-coding RNA (324 nucleotides) under soil metagenome. RNAcentral describes it as "partial contains 5.8S ribosomal RNA, internal transcribed spacer 2, and large subunit ribosomal RNA". The stretch from base 1 to 120 matches the Rfam family "5.8S ribosomal RNA", at positions 35 to 154 of the family's 154-position model. The record is from RNAcentral.